AUUGAACGCUGGCGGAAUGCUUUACACAUGCAAGUCGAACGGCAGCACGGACUUCGGUCUGGUGGCGAGUGGCGAACGGGUGAGUAAUGUAUCGGAACGCGCCCAGUCGUGGGGGAUAACGUAGUGAAAAUUACGCUAAUACCGCAUACGAUCUAUGGAUGAAAGCGGGGGAUCGCAAGACCUCGCGCGAUUGGAGCGGCCGAUAUCAGAUUAGGUAGUUGGUGGGGCAAAGGCCCACCAAGCCAACGAUCUGUAGCUGGUCUGAGAGGACGACCAGCCACACUGGAACUGAGACACGGUCCAGACUCCUACGGGAGGCAGCAGUGGGGAAUUUUGGACAAUGGGCGAAAGCCUGAUCCAGCCAUUCCGCGUGCAGGAUGAAGGCCCUCGGGUUGUAAACUGCUUUUGUACGGAACGAAAAGGUUUCUACUAAUACUAGGAGCUCAUGACGGUACUGUAAGAAUAAGCACCGGCUAACUACGUGCCAGCAGCCGCCGUAA
RNAcentral lists this ribosomal RNA (500 nucleotides) under uncultured bacterium. RNAcentral's name for it is "partial 16S ribosomal RNA". It matches the Rfam family "Bacterial small subunit ribosomal RNA", at positions 30 to 523 of the family's 1533-position model. The record is from RNAcentral.